UACGUAGGGACCGAGCGUUGUCCGGAUUCAUUGGGCGUAAAGAGCUCGUAGGCGGUCUGUCGCGUCGAAUGUGAAAACCCGGGGCUCAACUCCGGGCUUGCAUUCGAUACGGGCAGGCUAGAGUUCGGUAGGGGAGUCUGGAAUUCCUGGUGUAGCGGUGAAAUGCGCAGAUAUCAGGAGGAACACCGGUGGCGAAGGCGGGACUCUGGGCCGAUACUGACGCUGAGGAGCGAAAGCGUGGGGAGCGAACAGG
Molecule: ribosomal RNA, 253 nt
Filed under: uncultured bacterium
Lineage: Bacteria
Description: partial 16S ribosomal RNA
Rfam family: Bacterial small subunit ribosomal RNA
Source: RNAcentral